UACGGAGGAUCCGAGCGUUAUCCGGAUUUAUUGGGUUUAAAGGGAGCGUAGGUGGAUUGUUAAGUCAGUUGUGAAAGUUUGCGGCUCAACCGUAAAAUUGCAGUUGAAACUGGCAGUCUUGAGUACAGUAGAGGUGGGCGGAAUUCGUGGUGUAGCGGUGAAAUGCUUAGAUAUCACGAAGAACUCCGAUUGCGAAGGCAGCUCACUAGACUGCAACUGGCACUGAUGCUCGAAAGUGUGGGUAUCAAACAGG
RNAcentral lists this ribosomal RNA (253 nucleotides) under uncultured bacterium. Its description in RNAcentral is "partial 16S ribosomal RNA". It matches the Rfam family "Bacterial small subunit ribosomal RNA", at positions 524 to 776 of the family's 1533-position model. The record is from RNAcentral.